CAGUCGCCACGGUAAUACGAAGGGGGCUAGCGUUGUUCGGAAUUACUGGGCGUAAAGCGCACGUAGGCGGAUAUUUAAGUCAGGGGUGAAAUCCCAGAGCUCAACUCUGGAACUGCCUUUGAUACUGGGUAUCUUGAGUAUGGAAGAGGUGAGUGGAAUUCCGAGUGUAGAGGUGAAAUUCGUAGAUAUUCGGAAGAACACCAGUGGCGAAGGCGGCUUACUGGCUCAUACUGGACGCUGAGGUGCGAAAGCGUGGGAAGCAAACAGGAUUAGAUACCCCGGUAGUCCCUGUCUCUUAUAC
Molecule: ribosomal RNA, 301 nt
Filed under: uncultured bacterium
Lineage: Bacteria
Description: partial 16S ribosomal RNA
Rfam family: Bacterial small subunit ribosomal RNA
Source: RNAcentral